GUUGUACUCCCUCUGUCCGGAAUUACUUGUCUUGGAAAUGGAUGUAUCUAGAACUAAAAUACGUCUAGAUACAUCCAUUUCUGCGACAAAUAAUUCUGAACGGAGGGAGUAGCUU
This is a non-coding RNA of Triticum urartu, 115 nucleotides long. The record is from Rfam. Lineage: Eukaryota; Viridiplantae; Streptophyta; Magnoliopsida; Poales; Poaceae.